UCUCCGUUGGUGAACCAGCGGAGGGAUCAUUAUAGAGUUUUCUAAACUCCCAACCCAUGUGAACUUACCAUUGUUGCCUCGGCAGAAGCUGCUCGGUAUACCUUACCUUGGAACGGCCUACCCUGUAGCUGUAGCGCCUUACCCUGGAACGGCUUACCCUGUAACGGCUGCCGGUGGACUACCAAACUCUUGUUAUUUUAUUGUAAUCUGAGCGUCUUAUUUUAAUAAGUCAAAACUUUCAACAACGGAUCUCUUGGUUCUGGCAUCGAUGAAGAACGCAGC
This 282-nucleotide unclassified non-coding RNA is filed under the name uncultured fungus. RNAcentral's name for it is "sequence contains ITS1, 5.8S rRNA gene". The stretch from base 234 to 282 matches the Rfam family "5.8S ribosomal RNA", at positions 1 to 49 of the family's 154-position model. Lineage: Eukaryota; Fungi. The record is from RNAcentral.